Molecule: ribosomal RNA, 467 nt
Filed under: uncultured bacterium
Lineage: Bacteria
Description: partial 16S ribosomal RNA
Rfam family: Bacterial small subunit ribosomal RNA
Source: RNAcentral
GACGAACGCUGGCGGCGUGCUUAACACAUGCAAGUCGAACGGAAAGGCCCUGCUUUUGUGGGGUGCUCGAGUGGCGAACGGGUGAGUAACACGUGAGUAACCUGCCCUUGACUUUGGGAUAACUUCAGGAAACUGGGGCUAAUACCGGAUAGGAGCUCCUGCUGCAUGGUGGGGGUUGGAAAGUUUCGGCGGUUGGGGAUGGACUCGCGGCUUAUCAGCUUGUUGGUGGGGUAGUGGCUUACCAAGGCUUUGACGGGUAGCCGGCCUGAGAGGGUGACCGGCAACAUUGGAACGGGGAUACGGCCAAGACUCCUACGGGGGCAGCAGUGGGGAAUAUUGCACAAUGGGCGGAAGCCUGAUGCAGCAACGCCGCGUGCGGGAUGACGGCCUUCGGGUUGUAAACCGCUUUCGCCUGUGACGAAGCGUGAGUGACGGUAAUGGGUAAAGAAGCACCGGCUAACUACGUG